UAAGGUGAUAACAUAGAGUAGC
RNAcentral lists this non-coding RNA (22 nucleotides) under Mus musculus (house mouse). The record is from RNAcentral. Lineage: Eukaryota; Metazoa; Chordata; Mammalia; Rodentia; Muridae.